This 465-nucleotide ribosomal RNA is filed under the name uncultured bacterium. RNAcentral's name for it is "partial 16S ribosomal RNA". It matches the Rfam family "Bacterial small subunit ribosomal RNA", at positions 28 to 507 of the family's 1533-position model. The record is from RNAcentral.
GAUGAACGCUGGCGGCGUGCUUAACACAUGCAAGUCGAACGGAAAGGCUCCUGCUUGCAGGGGUACUCGAGUGGCGAACGGGUGAGUAACACGUGGGUGAUCUGCCCUGCACUUCGGGAUAAGCCUGGGAAACUGGGUCUAAUACCGGAUAGGACGAUGGUUUGGAUGCCAUUGUGGAAAGUUUUUCGGUGUGGGAUGAGCUCGCGGCCUAUCAGCUUGUUGGUGGGGUAAUGGCCUACCAAGGCGUCGACGGGUAGCCGGCCUGAGAGGGUGUACGGCCACAUUGGGACUGAGAUACGGCCCAGACUCCUACGGAAGGCAGCAGUGGGGAAUAUUGCACAAUGGGCGCAAGCCUGAUGCAGCGACGCCGCGUGGGGGAUGACGGCCUUCGGGUUGUAAACUCCUUUCGCUAGGGACGAAGCGCAAGUGACGGUACCUGGAGAAGAAGCACCGGCUAACUACGUG